RNAcentral lists this unclassified non-coding RNA (348 nucleotides) under soil metagenome. RNAcentral's name for it is "partial contains 5.8S ribosomal RNA, internal transcribed spacer 2, and large subunit ribosomal RNA". The stretch from base 1 to 120 matches the Rfam family "5.8S ribosomal RNA", at positions 35 to 154 of the family's 154-position model. The record is from RNAcentral.
GAUGAAGAACGCAGCGAAAUGCGAUAAGUAAUGUGAAUUGCAGAGUUCAGUGAAUCAUCGAAUCUUUGAACGCACAUUGCGCCCGCCAGUAUUCUGGCGGGCAUGCCUGUCCGAGCGUCAUUUCAACCCUCAUGCCCCUAGGGCGUGGUGUUGGGGAUCGGCCAAAGCCCGCGAGGGACGGCCGGCCCCUAAAUCUAGUGGCGGACCCGUCGUGGCCUCCUCUGCGAAGUAGUGAUAUUCCGCAUCGGAGAGCGAUGAGCCCCUGCCGUUAAACCCCCAACUUUCCAAGGUUGACCUCAGAUCAGGUAGGAAUACCCGCUGAACUUAAGCAUAUCAAUAAGCGGAGGA